GCGCCUAUAGUUUAACGGAUAGAACACAGGCCUCCGAAGCCUGGGAUCGAGGUUCAAUUCCUCGUAGGCGCA
This 72-nucleotide transfer RNA is filed under the name Candidatus Uhrbacteria bacterium RIFCSPHIGHO2_12_FULL_54_23. RNAcentral describes it as "tRNA-Arg". It matches the Rfam family "tRNA". From Rfam's summary of the family: Transfer RNA (tRNA) molecules are approximately 80 nucleotides in length. Their secondary structure includes four short double-helical elements and three loops (D, anti-codon, and T loops). RNAcentral also lists the same sequence under 2 other names. Lineage: Bacteria; Candidatus Uhriibacteriota. The record is from RNAcentral.